GCAUUCCUCAGAAAGGGGGCUCCACGUAGGCCAUGGUGGGCAAAAGUCCAGAGGAGGGCAGGGCUGGGGAUGGUGCGGGGCCACUAGUGCCCUAGUCAAGGCCACUCCAAGCAGCCUGCACUGUGGUGACUGGUCUGUCACCUCUGCCCAGAGACCGCAUGGCCCACAGUGCCUGUCUGGCCCUUUCUAGAUUGUUUGGGCCCCUUGUGCUGCAGUAGUAGGAAUGCUAAUCAGGUGCGUGGCCUCCUCCUUCCUUCCUUCCUUCCUUCUCUCCUUCUUUGCUUUCUUUUAUGGUGCUGGGGAUUGUCACACUGAGCUACUGUCACACUGAGCUACAUCCCUAGCCCUUUCUAAUUUAUUUUUUAAUUUUUGAGACAGUGUCUCAGUAAAUUGCCCAGGCUGGGCUUGAAUUUGUGACCCUCCUUGCCUCAGCCUCCCAGAGUGCUGGGAUUACAGGCGUGCGCCACCACCGCUGGCUCAGGAUGCUAUUUCUGAGUGCUCCCCAUAUAUCAGCAGCGAUCCUUAGGACUUAACCUGAGUUCUUCCACCUACUUCCCAAAUCCAGCAGUGAGGGAGACGCCAUGAUGGUCCCAUUUGUGAACUGAUGCUCAUCGUUGUUGAGGAACUUGCAUAGGUCACCAGCCAGGACGCCGAGAGCCCAGCCUUGAGGCCGACUCACUGGACUCUAAUCCCUGCUGUCUCAUCCCUGCCACGAGCAUGUGCCUGACAAGCAAGAGGCACAACCUUUCCUAAUGGGUACCCUGAGGUCAGGAGAGAGGAGAACAGUUCCACUCCCCACCUUGCUCCUCUCUUGCCAGCAUUUCUUCCUUGCCGCAUUUUCUCUUCUUUCCUAGGCUUGGAAAAUUGAUAGAAUAAUCACAGUCAUUCCAGCAUGGUUCCACAGCAUGCUCUGUAAUUAGUGUGUGAUUCGGGCCUUGUGUGAACACAGACAGGCGCCCUGGAAGAAGCCAAGCACAGGAGGACCAGCUUUCUCCAGAGAUGCGGAGCCCUCCUCCCUGCCUUGCUGAACUUUAGGCUUUGCUACAAGCCCAAAAGGGCUGAAAUCCCACUGACCAGUCUCAGGCACCUCCCUGGCUUUAAUCCCUCCUGUAGAAAAGCAGUGUCACCCAUCCAUCCACCCACCCCCCAUCCUCCAUCCAUCUGUACCACAAAUACCCUGUUCUCCUGGGGACACAGCCCGAGCUGCAGUGCAGCCCCAUCCACUGCCACACCUGCCAGUACUCAACCCUCUGCAGACAUCCCCAACAUCCACUUCCCUUGGGAAUGCGAGGCAGAGAGAGCCCCAGCCAGCCAGGGAGCCUCUAUCUGGGUUGAGGGCAUGGGCUGGCUUAACCCUGGUGGGGGGCCUGCAGUUGUGGGGCCAGGUAUUGCCUUCUCUGGGCCAGAAGGGGUUAACAGAGGCACCGGCAGUGCCUCAGUUCUAGCCAAAGACACUCAGCCAAAAGUGGCUUGUGCGUCAGCAGGGCCCACAGCGCGACUCACUCUGAGGACAGCCUGGAGUGAUUCAUUGAGAGCCAGAGAGAAAGAGGGGGUGAGAAAGGAGGUACUUGAAGAGCCAGGAUGCCAAGGGGGCAGAUGCCAACACGCUGUGCUAAGGUGCAGAGGGCAGGGUGGUCCAGAGCCCCACAGGGCCGGCAGGCGGGGGGCCCCUCCCUGGGCUGGGGAACAGAAGGCUGCAGCCGUCGCCCCAUGGCUACAGCCUGAGCCAACCAUGAACCCCUGCCACACAACCUUGAGUCAGAAGGCAGUGCCUAUCCCAGCUCUGCUGCCACCCUGCGGGGUGCCUGGCACCUGUCCCCAGCCUCAGUUUCUUCUCUGUGGAGUGAGGGGCUGGGCGUGUCCACCUGGGAAGCCAGAGGCCAUGGAUUUCACACUCAGGCUUCCCCUUUUAGACCAGACCUCCCUUCCCGUUCCAGUGCAGGUGCAGGUGCUUGUGCCUAGGAGGGGCACAAAGUCAGCACCUUCUGAGAGUCAUUGUCAGGGGUAAAAUGGGAUGUCUCACCUUCAAAACAGGUUUUUGGACAUUUAUUUGGUGCCCACUGUGCUCCAGGAGCUGGGAUGCAUAAGGAGCUGACAGCCCCUGGGGAGAGAUUAUGUAAUUGAGUGCAUAGUAAAUGUUUAAUAAGCAACAGUUGCUAUCAUUUAUGUUGUCCUCAAGGUUCCUUGAGGCCCCUAGACCAGUUUUUCAUACAGGAGUCACUUGUGGCUGAUUGAAUCAGUGGCAUCGAGUUGGAGACAUUUUUCCUGCAUGGCAAGUGUGACCCAAGGAGGAGGUAUAGUGAGCCUGGCAGAGGGCUGGCCAUUGCUUCAUCCAGCUUCGUUCCCAAGCCCAGAUUGGCUCCUACGGACCCAGAAACAGUGCUCAAGAAGUGGUGAUGACCCUUCCCAGAGAACUAAUGGUGAUAAUCCCAGCCAAAGGGGCCACAGUGCCCAGGAUGUGCUGGGCACUGGUCUAAGCCUUUGCCUCUGAACUCAGUUUAAUUUUUACAACAGUCCCUUAAGGGAGAGAUAAUACUAUUCGCAUUUCACAGAUAGGGAAGUCAAGGCUCAGAAAAGCUUAAGUAACUUCCCCAAGCUCACACAGCUAGUAAGUGGUAGGACUGGAACUCAGACCCAGAUAGGCCGGCUCUAGAGUCUGUGCCCUAAGCAUUAUGGAGUGCUUGCUCUGGGUUAUUAAUAAUUGCUGUAGUUUUGACAGCUGUCAUUUGAAUUAUAAUUGAUGGCCUUUCAUGGGGUCUUGCUAAAUGCAUUUUCUCAUCUGAUCGCUGCCAUUUUUAUUUCCUCGUAGCACUGAAUGCAGCUUGAUGUUACUCACGUAAUCAUUUCCUGUCUGUCACCCCCACCCCGUGUGACUGAAAACUCUCGGGAGAUUGUGCUUUGCUCAGCGCCUUAACUGCAGCAUCUGAAACAUAGCGGGUGCUGUUUGCAUGUCUGCUGCAUGGUGGAUGAGUCUCUCUUUUUUUCUGCUAAAGGAACCAACGUUUAGAGCAGUUAACUGGCUUGCUCGGUGUCGCACAGGAGGUAAGUCGUACAGCAGGGUCUGCAGUACUGCUGUGCAUUCACUUCCAGCCAGGCCCUGUGCUGGGAAAGCCAAAAGGGGGACAGAGUGAAAGUCGUGGCAUGGACUGGGACCGGCGUCCAUGGCCCUUCUCCGCCUUCCCAGUUUCCUCGUGCAGCAGCUAAGGGGGUGCCGUCUUUCUCCUGGAGGCUGCGAGGGAAGGACAUCUGCCUUCUGCUGAGAAUCCCCUGGUCCCUGGCCACUCGAUCCCGCUCCUCCCUGCCAGGUCUCCCUCGAGCUCUGAUGGCCACCGAACCCACACUCCCUGGGAGGUUACCGGUCAUGUUUUUGUGUGCUUGUGCCUUUGUCUUUCGGUUCCUUGACAGAUUUAUAGGCCUGUCAGUGGAGACGCUCUGUGAAGUACACAGGGGACAGAUGUGUCUUGGUGCUUCCUGGAGACCUUUAUCUCCGGGGCGCUUUCUGCUAUCCUGCGCUCAUAGUGUUUCAUUGACUUUGGCCAAGCAAGCCCCUGCUCAGCAUUAUUGACCAAGCAAGCCCCUGCUCAGCAUUAUUGACCAAGCAAGCCCCUGCUCAGCAUUAUUCUAACAUUUUGUUGACUGAUGGCCCAGGAGUUCUGCAGAGGAACCCCAGGAAGCUAGGGAUGAGGCAGGAGCAAAGGGAGCCGUCUUCGGGGACUGGAGAGGUCCUCCUGUCCAUUAGCUACCUCCCGGCUGCCAACCGCCUCCUGGUGGUGCUGAUCAAAGCCAAGAACCUCCACUCCAACCAGUCCAAGGUGCUCCUGGGCAAGGGAACCCCCGCACAGGACCCAAGUCUUGAGAUCAAGGCGGGCUCUCGUAUCUGAGUAGGAAGACAGCUGGGUUAGCCAGAUAAUACCUGGACUGGGGACCAAGUGCUCAUAGCUGGAGAGAAACGCAUCUGUAUUAGUAGCAGGAUACAAAUAAAGCAUUGCCAUUAUGUACAGAAUCUUUAAGCAAAAAGUUUUGGACAAAUGAAAUCAGAAGGGUUAAUCUUGUUGGCAGAUUCCCAAGCCAAAGAUGUCUCAGUCAAGGUGACCUUGAAGCACCAGGCUCAGAAGCUGAAGAAGAAGCAGACGAAACGGGCCAAGCACAAGAUCAACCCUGUGUGGAACGAGAUGAUCAUGUUCGAGCUGCCUGACGACCUGCUGCGGGCCUCCAGUGUCGGAGCUGGAGGUGCUGAGCCAGGAUGAGGCUGGGCAGAGCUGCACCCUCGGUCACUGCAGCCUGGGCCUGCACACUUCCGGCUCAGAGCGCAGCCACUGGGAGGAGAUGCUCAAAAACCUGCGCCGGCAGAUUGCCAUGUGGCACCAGCUGUGCCAGUAGCCGGGCCCUUGCGGGGACACGGGCCCCUCCUCCAGCCCCAGCUGUCCCGUGCAACCUCCUCUGUCCCCACCCUCAUUCUGAGACAGACUGGGACCCGCGCUUCCUCUCUGGCCACACUCCUGUUUCGAAAGGGCAAGUGUGGAAAUGGGACAUCGGGUCGCACAAGGAGAGCACCUUGCUCCUCUGUGCUAUGGGAAGAGCUGUCUACCAGACAAUCCUGUGCAGGACUUGCAAGUGUGGGAAGCCAGAUGCAGGGGGAGCUUAAUUCAGGGAAUUGUGGAUGCAAAGAGGUUCCUAAAAAUAAGUAUUGCAACAAGAAUGAAGGAGAAAUGAUCCUGGAUCAACUCAAAGAGUUAGAAGUGGUCUGGGUGGGAUGAAACCAACCCCCGCCAAGCAGCUGUAGGACGUUAGUGUGUAGAGACUCACCCGCCAGCUCCUGGGCCGCCAGUGAGUUCCAGGUCAGAGAUUCGGGCCAAGCCUCUUCCUCAGUCCUUCUAAGCACUGAGAGAUUCCAAGGCAGAGGUGGGAGGACGUGGAGGGGUUCUGUCUACAACAUUCUACGUGGGCUUUCAACCUCUGUCUGCUAUGGGGCCCCAACACCUGGAGGCAGCGACCCCAACCCUGGGCACCUCAACCCUGUGUGUGAACUCAAAGCCUCCAUUUUUGAUUUAACUCUUAAUGUUGAAAUGUGUGCUUUUUCCAGGUCCUGCUCUUGGGCUGCAUUUUGUGAUUUUUAUUGAAGGACUGUAUUGUUUUAUCUUGAAAUUGGCUUAUAUUGUGUGUGAGGAGACCUUCUUCCACAAAGUAUAGGUGGGAUCCUCACUCUGUUGGUUAUUGGGCUGGAUUCUGAGCAUUAGUUGUCACAUCUACCAGCAUUACCAAAGUGACCCUGUGCAACAGAUCCAUUCCUUCUCUGCAUUCCAGCUGCUUCCGGAGGAAGUUAAUUAUGAACUUGGUCUACUCCAUUUGGCUGCAGGAACAUGGAGAGGAAAGACAACUUUAUAAAGGAGUGAGGUCUUUUGCAGACAUGCCUCCCUCCCUGGGUUUGGGGGUCCUUAAAACUUUAACCAGUAAAUAGCUAGCAGCUAGAUUUUUACUUUCUACCUGUUAUUCCCAAAUCAUUGUCCCCACUGUGAUUAAAUCUACAUGAAGGUGGUCAUACUACUCAUCAGGAACUGGAUUGCUGGGUUCUGCUGCUCUCACUGCCCUUCACAAGCUUAAUGUGGCCAUCUGUCAAGUAGGGCUAACAUCCUGGGAUCUUAUCUGUGUGCAUGAUAUGGUAGGUGAGAAAGUGUUCAAAAAGUUGAAGGUAUUCCUCAGCUAAGAACAAACUCCGAGACCACUAGCAGGUCACCUUUAAGCUAGGUUACUGUCUUUCACGUCAAGCUGGGAGCUGAGAAUGCCUAGAAAGUGUCAGACCUGCUCAAAUAUUUCCAGAACCAUGGAUUCUGCAUUUGAACUUCUUUCUAUUAAUAGUCAAACUCUGGGCCCUCCGAUGUCAGCCCCAUUCUCUGAUGGAAGGGAGGAUUCCUGGAUGAGCUGUCUAAGCAUCAUUCUUCUUAAAUUCAGUUGUUCUCGGCCUCUCCUUGAGCAGAGCCUUCAUACUCUUUUGUCAUUAUUUGCUCUUUCUAUACAGAAAUGGGAAAGCACUAGAAAUAACUUCUACCCACUCUGUGGAAACAGAAAAAAAUAUAUAAUCCCUCUUUAAUGGGCAGGUCUUUCAGAUAAUUGGAAACCUUGAUCUUUCAGGUUGACCCACCCUUGUUCCAAGUGUUUUUUCAAAGGUGCAGUAUUGUCUUUGGUUUCCAAAAAUGUGUUUCUGAGUUCACCCUCUCUGCCCUGGUCUCUUCUUUUUGGUUGGCAUGGCAAAAAGAGAACAAAAUAUUCCCCAGGUCACCUGAAAGCUGGCCAGCAUCUUCUUUAACAUGCGCUAUCUAGAAACAUGAGUUCCACUUCCCUAUAAAUCAAAGCACUGCUUAUAGUCCCACCAAAGAACAUUUGAAGAGUGCUGGACAGGGCCCCCUGGCCCAGAGCAUCAAUGCCACCCAAAGUCAACCCAUUCAUUUCUUUGGAUCUCAAAGGUUUAGUUUUCCAGAAUGAAAGCUAAAGGCUGCUCCUGAUAGGGGUCACAUUAUACCAUAGGACAUUUUAGGUGCCAUUGUCACCCCACUUGGCAGAGAGGCACAGAAAUGGCAUAGGCUCUGCAGGGGCCUCAUUUGGAUGUUCACUGGUGGAUUCCAAAUGCCUAGGAUAAAGCUGUCUUAUGGGGCUCCAACAGGGCUUGCUGGAUGAAUGAAUGAAUGAUGGGAGAGGUGUCACCAGAAAAGGACACAGCACAUGGCAGAACAAGGAGAGCCCUGGCUGAGUUGACAAUGGUAAAGAUGUCAGUUGACUCAACAGUUAGCCUGGAAAUUCAUGACAUUGAGUAUUAGCAUUCACUCAACAACAGUCAAAGGUCUCCAUGUAAAUGGAUUUAACAAAAAAGAGAAUAUAAUUGCCAUACUUUCCCACCCAAACUCCAUUCUGGUGAAUUUUAAAUUACCCAAAGAUGUCAGACUGCCAAAUCAAAAAAUUUUGGUAAUCUUUGCCUCGGUUUACCUUGUACCAGACACACUUGCAAUUUACCUUUUAAUUAGAGUGAUGAAGUCUGUGUGAACAUAUUUGAUAAUUUUUGAAAGGGUUACCUUGUUCUAUGUAGGGAAGCAUUUUCUAAGAAAGGUGUGAAGCAGAGGUAAAAACAAAGAGUCUGUUUCAGGCUGGGCUGUCACCCAAGAGGGGACCUGUUUCUUUCUUAGAGACAGCCACGGGCUUGGAGGAUUAAGGAUCCACCUUCAUUUGUUGGUGACUUCACUUCUUGAGCCAUCAGUCUGUACUUGUUGAGUCCUGUUCCUCAAGACUUUGCAUGUGUCUGUCCCUUCCAAUUUCAGAUGUGACUCUUGGUCUGGGUUGUGUGACAAACCACCCUAAUUGAAGCUAGGCAGAGGGAGUGGGGGGAACAGGAGUGCUGUUCUUUGGGACCACUUGGAAAGGAGUCCUGGAUGGAAGGUGGAUGCAGCCUAAGCCAAAUGGACAAGGUGAGGACAGGGAAAAGAGACCUAGUCCUUGUGAUUUGUUGCUGCCUUUGCUGUUUCCUGUUGUCAAUUGCUCUGUGUGUGUGUUAGUGUGUGUGUGUGUUUGUGUGUGUUUUGCUAUCAUGAACUGAAGCACAAAUAGAGGCAUGAGACAUUGUAGUCAUGUAUUCCGUGUCACACUCUGGAGCAAAACUAGUGCAGUGGUAAAUAAAUAACUUCCAACAGGG
RNAcentral lists this long non-coding RNA (7678 nucleotides) under Heterocephalus glaber (naked mole-rat). RNAcentral's name for it is "lncRNA (ENSHGLG00000047962.1)". Lineage: Eukaryota; Metazoa; Chordata; Mammalia; Rodentia; Bathyergidae. The record is from RNAcentral.